GCCCUCGUGGUUGAAUGUACAUCACCCUAAACACCUGAUUGUACCGAAUAUCCAUAGUGAUGGGGAGGCGGAGGUUCGAAUCCUCCCGAGGGCA
This is a non-coding RNA of Mycena rebaudengoi, 94 nucleotides long. The record is from the annotation of a GenBank genome assembly. Lineage: Eukaryota; Fungi; Basidiomycota; Agaricomycetes; Agaricales; Mycenaceae.